AGAGAUAAAGCUUAAAUCUGAGCGGUUCAUUUACACUGAAAUGGUUUUCGUGCGAGUCGGAAUAUCUUUG
RNAcentral lists this transfer RNA (70 nucleotides) under Gebiacantha plantae. RNAcentral describes it as "tRNA-Val". The record is from RNAcentral. Lineage: Eukaryota; Metazoa; Arthropoda; Malacostraca; Decapoda; Upogebiidae.